CAAGGCGACCCUCGAUGGUAUCCACAGCCAGAGGACUGCUGGAUACGCUUUGCGGGAGGCCAGAGAACCGAGACUGCCAAGAGCCUUUGUUCCUGGACUCCGGGGGUGGAACGGGAGAAGGAGGGGAUGUGCAUGAAUGGAAAAGGGUUACACCGGUAAAAUCUUGUUAGGGCAUAGAGGAUGUUUUAUUUUUUACUGAUAUUAUGUUUUAAUGUUUAACUUUUCAGUUAUGUCCACUAGACUCAUAUUAAUAUGACUGGCCUAUGGCAGUUGCCACAGGAUUUUGUCUUAGGGGAUGUGUUUAAUGUAUGAUUACACUUUGCCUGAGGAAAUGUUACCACUGAAACUAGUUUCAAGUGGUUAGAUUCUAAAUGUUGUUGGAGGAGGGAACUGAUGACUGGUGAAUUUUGUGUCUUUUCCUUGUGUGCUGGCUGUGCGGAUUUAAGGCUUCUGCCAAGGAAAGAUGGGUGAGACGAAUGGAGAUAAGUCUGACCAUAGAAAAGGAGACCACUUCUGAAGAGUUAAAGAAACUUGGACCGCAGGACACUAAGUGCCUUGCCCAGAGAAGUUGGGUUCCGUAGAAGGACAAGUUAUGGAGGGAAUGCACACACAAUAGGUGGUAGGACGAAAUGGUCUCCAUCUCUGAGGCUGUGGCUCUAAUUGAGCAUACUUAUAACCUAAAAUGACUUCUGGUGAAGCAAG
Phyllostomus discolor (pale spear-nosed bat) is the source of this 702-nucleotide long non-coding RNA. RefSeq lists it as uncharacterized. The transcript is spliced from 3 exons. Lineage: Eukaryota; Metazoa; Chordata; Mammalia; Chiroptera; Phyllostomidae. The record is from RefSeq and is a predicted model, not a curated record.